RNAcentral lists this ribosomal RNA (253 nucleotides) under uncultured bacterium. RNAcentral's name for it is "partial 16S ribosomal RNA". It matches the Rfam family "Bacterial small subunit ribosomal RNA", at positions 524 to 776 of the family's 1533-position model. The record is from RNAcentral.
UACGUAGGGUCCGAGCGUUGUCCGGAAUCAUUGGGCGUAAAGAGCGUGUAGGCGGUUCGGUAAGUCGGCUGUGAAAGUCCAGGGCUCAACCCUGGGAUGCCGGUCGAUACUGCCGGACUAGAGUUCGGAAGAGGCGAGUGGAAUUCCCGGUGUAGCGGUGAAAUGCGCAGAUAUCGGGAGGAACACCUAUGGCGAAGGCAGCUCGCUGGGACGUUACUGACGCUGAGACGCGAAAGCGUGGGGAGCAAACAGG